RNAcentral lists this long non-coding RNA (1622 nucleotides) under Oryza sativa Indica Group (long-grained rice). RNAcentral describes it as "lncRNA OsZS97_07G020940". The record is from RNAcentral. Lineage: Eukaryota; Viridiplantae; Streptophyta; Magnoliopsida; Poales; Poaceae.
GCUUAUUUCAUUCGCUCGUCGCGUCGCCUUUGCCUUGCCUCGCUCGGUUCCAAACGCAAAGCACCCAAUUCCAUUUCCGUUCCCCUCUCGGCGAACAGCCUCGCCUCCUCCUCCUCCUCGCCGCCGACGCCGACGCCGACGCCUCCCCGGCAUUUGGUUCGCGCGGGUGGUGCCGUGAGAUACGUGGUGGACGGGAGGAUGGAGUCGGACGCCUCCACCUCGCCGCGCCGGCGGAGCACCAGCUGCUACAGCGACAGCGGCGAUUCGUCAUGCUCCGAGCCGUUCAGCGAGUGCGGCAGCGACGACCUCUCGUUCACGCCGGCUGCCGCCGCGGGAAUCCACCGGCUGCUGCUGUCGUGCGCGGCGGAGGCGUCGGACGGGACGAUCUCGUCGCUCGUCGCGGAGCUGGAGUCGCCGUCGUCGUCGCUGGACUCGCUACGGCGCGCCGCGAUGGAGCUCCGGCUGCUGGCGAAGCACAACCCGGACAACCGGAUUCGCAUCGCGGCGGCCGGGGCGGUGCGUCCGCUCGUCGCGCUGCUGUCGCACGCCGACCCGCUCCUGCAGGAGCACGGCGUCACGGCGCUGCUCAACCUGUCGAUCUGCGACGAGAACAAGGCGAUCAUCGUGGAGGCCGGCGCGAUACGGCCGCUCGUCCACGCGCUCAAGUCGGCCGCGUCGCCGGCCGCGCGGGAGAACGCGGCGUGCGCGCUGCUCCGCCUGUCCCAGCUCGACGGCUCCGCCGCGGCCUCCAUCGGCCGCGCGGGCGCCAUCCCGCUGCUGGUCUCCCUCCUCGAGACCGGCGGCGCGCGCGGCAAGAAGGACGCCGCUACGGCCCUCUACGCGCUCUGCAGCGGCGCGCGCGAGAACCGCCUCCGCGCCGUGGAGGCCGGUGCCGUGCGCCCACUGCUCGACCUCAUGGCCGACCCGGAGACCGGCAUGGUGGACAAGGCCGCCUACGUCUUGCACUCCCUCGUCGGCAUCGCCGAGGGCCGCUCCGCCGCCGUCGAGGAAGGCGGCAUCCCCGUCCUCGUCGAGAUGGUGGAGGUCGGCUCCCCGCGGCAGAAGGAGAUCGCCACCCUCUCCCUCCUACAGAUCUGCGAGGACAGCGCUGCCUACCGCACCAUGGUCGCCCGCGAGGGCGCCAUCCCUCCCCUCGUCGCCCUCUCCCAAUCCUCCUCCGCCCGCCCCAAGCUCAAAACCAAGGCGGAGGCGCUGAUCGAGAUGCUACGGCAGCCACGGAGCGCGAGCCUGCGCGCGAGGCCAACGGCGGUCGUUGCGGCGGAGUGAUCCUGACCUCGUUCAAUUCAAGUCCCCAACUUGGCGGUGCCCCAGGUGUUGUGCUUUGCUUCCCCUAUUCCGGCGGCGACCGGGGCCGGCGCCGGCCGCCGGCGCCCGCGUGUAAAUAUACCAAUCAGCGUGUUUGCGUCCGCGAGCGAGUGUACAUUUUCCUCAAGCGAGAUGACGACGAAGGCGAUGGUGGAGCGAAGAAAAGUCUCUUGUAAUUUCAUUCUUCCCCACCACUUGUUUUUUUUUUCACUUCACUUUUAUCCCCUACCUUGCUUGGUUGUUUCCUCCUCGUCAAACGAGGAGAAGGUUGUGCAAAAAAAAAAAAAAGCUACAAA